UACGAAGGGGGCUAGCGUUGUUCGGAAUUACUGGGCGUAAAUCGCACGUAGGCGGACUAUUAAGUCAGGGGUGAAAUCCCGGGGCUCAACCCCGGAACUGCCUUUGAUACUGGUAGUCUCGAGUCCGGAAGAGGUGAGUGGAAUUCCGAGUGUAGAGGUGAAAUUCGUAGAUAUUCGGAGGAACACCAGUGGCGAAGGCGGCUCACUGGUCCGGUACUGACGCUGAGGUGCGAAAGCGUGGGGAGCAAACAGG
RNAcentral lists this ribosomal RNA (253 nucleotides) under uncultured bacterium. RNAcentral describes it as "partial 16S ribosomal RNA". It matches the Rfam family "Bacterial small subunit ribosomal RNA", at positions 524 to 776 of the family's 1533-position model. The record is from RNAcentral.